RNAcentral lists this ribosomal RNA (433 nucleotides) under Salmonella enterica subsp. enterica serovar Litchfield. RNAcentral's name for it is "partial 23S ribosomal RNA". It matches the Rfam family "Bacterial large subunit ribosomal RNA", at positions 87 to 559 of the family's 2925-position model. Lineage: Bacteria; Pseudomonadati; Pseudomonadota; Gammaproteobacteria; Enterobacterales; Enterobacteriaceae. The record is from RNAcentral.
UGAUAUGAACCGUUAUAACCGGCGAUACCCGAAUGGGGAAACCCAGUGUGAUUCGUCACACUAUCAUUAACUGAAUCCAUAGGUUAAUGAGGCGAACCGGGGGAACUGAAACAUCUAAGUACCCCGAGGAAAAGAAAUCAACCGAGAUUCCCCCAGUAGCGGCGAGCGAACGGGGAGGAGCCCAGAGCCUGAAUCAGCAUGUGUGUUAGUGGAAGCGUCUGGAAAGGCGCGCGAUACAGGGUGACAGCCCCGUACACAAAAGCGCAUGUGCUGUGAGCUCGAUGAGUAGGGCGGGACACGUGGUAUCCUGUCUGAAUAUGGGGGGACCAUCCUCCAAGGCUAAAUACUCCUGACUGACCGAUAGUGAACCAGUACCGUGAGGGAAAGGCGAAAAGAACCCCGGCGAGGGGAGUGAAAAAGAACCUGAAACCGU